RNAcentral lists this long non-coding RNA (2116 nucleotides) under Xyrichtys novacula (pearly razorfish). Lineage: Eukaryota; Metazoa; Chordata; Actinopteri; Labriformes; Labridae. The record is from RNAcentral.
UUUACAUUCAGAGGCUGAAACUUUAACUUUUUAAACAGUGUACAUUUAUUGUUCAAUACACCACAUGAAGGUUAAGAAACAUUUAUUAUGGUCCAUGAACAGGUCAGCUUUAGUUCUGAUGUUGAGAGACUGUCCAGUGUCUGCCAUCUUCCAUUCAGGUGUCCACAGCUUGCCCAGUUAGAAGCGCAGUCAUCUGAUUGAGGUUGGAGGCAUUUCUCCGCCGAUGGAUGUUUCAGUCAUCUGAAGAGGCUUUGACAGAGGCACAACUGACAAUGAUGAGGGCUUACUUUGACCUCUGCCUCAUCUUUCGCCUUUUACGCUUCAGCCUGUCAAGAACCCAACACACAGCAGUUUUAGGCUAAAUACAGGAGUUAAUCACAGCUCUAGACAAACAGAAACAAAUUUUUAACAAAAGACCCUACGCCUGCCAGUUAUUUAAGGCUAGGGCCCGACCAAUAUGGAUUUUUUUGGGGCCGAUGCAUAUUAGGGGAAAAAAAAAAAAAAAGAUUACCAAUUAAAAUCGACAAAUUUUAAACUGCUCUUAACGCCUACAGAAAGACCGACUGAUAAAACUCGGACCAGAAAAGCGUUUUCAAAUAGUUGGUGGAUGAAGACUGUCAAGAGGUCGCUGCGCCAUCUACAGGAUAAGUCGGAACUUUUCAAAUGGCGGAACAAUUUUGAGGUGAAACAUAAUUUUAUUUGCCGCAUUUUAUUUCUGAAAAUACCAGCAAAAAUCGGCGAGUUUUGGCUGAUUACGGAUAAGUCUCCAACUGGCUACAAUUGGCUGAUUUAAUCGUCUCGCCAAUAAAUCGGUCGGGCCCGAUUUAGGACAGAUAUUUAAGUUAUUUAAGCCAGUUCUUUAAGCCUGCCAGUUACUUAUGUAUUAUUUUCAGGUGUCGUCACCAAUUCUGGGGUUUUCCACCUUAUCUAUACAACAAUUGAACCCACAGCAAUUUACAUGGCGCAGCUUUUACAGUCUUUGUCAGCGUUUUAUGGAACAGUUAAUGACAAAUUCUGAGUUAAGUUUCAGCCAGACAGCUUCUUGGUCACCUUGCAAAGGUUUCAGAGGUUAUUUCAGAUUCAUGUGGAGGAACUAACUGGUCGUAUGAUAUCUGACAAGAUUUCACACCAUCAAGCCUGUCUUACAAAAACUAAGCAUCUUUAAAAAUAAUUUUCUCAUAGUCAGCUUAAGAAUAACAUGCUUUACACUAUACAUCAGUUCUGCUAUUUUAUGAACUGAUUCCUGACACAUUAGACUGAAGUUGGGGUCUCAAACUUCAUGUGCAAAGCUCUUCCAUGUCAGACUUGACCAUAGGAUAGAUUACUAUGAAGAUACAUUUAACAGACCACCAUAAUGAACUCAAGCAUUGUAAAUAGCACCACUGAGUUAAAUGUCACUUCAGUUUAGUUUUUGUUUCACCAUCAUAUGCACCAGAAGCCUGUACACCGGAUCUUUAGUGGAGUGCAUGGAAAAUAUCACAUGUGAGGCAACUGAGUAUGAAUACAAAUAAACGAGUUCUUACCUGCGCAUGCGCUUCUUCCUCCACUAUAAUGACAAAAAAAGCAUUUUAGUCAACAAUUAUCAGUCAUACUUCACAUGUCUGGCCCCCUAUUUAACAAAUUUACUGAUCAAUAUCACGUGGUGGUACCCAUAAACUACAUAGACCAUAGAACAGCACACCUAGGUUAGGGUACGGCAUUGCUAACACUACAGCGUGCAUUAAAGCGGGAACUUUAGCAGCAACAUUAUGAACUGAACCCUAAUUUUAAGAGAAAAAUUGAUUCAAGGGUUAAACAGGAGUAAUAUAGUUAAAGAAAACUGCAGAAAAGACAAAAUAGGGAGCAUAAUUCUAAUCCUAACGCCGAGGGACUGUGUAGAGCAGCCCAUUAGCAGUGAUUCAGUUGUUAGCUAGUAGCAUUAACUGAAUCAGGAAAUAACUUUGAAGGAUUGGUCAACUCACCUUGGCUCUCAUCGUGUGGAGAAGUUUCUGUGAAAAUAAGACAGAUUGGACCGUUAAUGGCUGUGGAUGACUUAGAAAAUGUGGUGAUUGAUUAGGAUUGAGUAUGCAGUGAAGUGGUUUUCCGUACCUCAAAGCGAGAAGAGCAACGGAAAGAG